This 546-nucleotide long non-coding RNA is filed under the name Phoenix dactylifera (date palm). RNAcentral describes it as "long non-coding RNA (PDAC_LNC019169)". The record is from RNAcentral. Lineage: Eukaryota; Viridiplantae; Streptophyta; Magnoliopsida; Arecales; Arecaceae.
UGUGUUAGGGCUGCAUCCAGCCCUAGAGAGGAGAUCAGCCUUCCAUGGAAAAUUGAACAGCUGCACUGCAGGGGGACUUCAUAAUGAUUGGCUCCUUCCUCCCGUCGGCUUCCUCUCUCUCUCUCUUGGAUUUCGGUGGAAACUCUCCUGCCAAGAGAGGGAACCGAACCGAAGUUGAAGAAUGAUGGGAGCAGCCCCCCCGGUGGGGAAGGAGAAGUGCCCCCACCCCCCAGUGGGGAAGAGGGAAUGCCCCCCCCCCCCGGUGGGGGAGGAAUGAAUGGAAGAGAAGAAUGAAUCCCGGAGAAGAGAACUCCCUUCCUUUUAUAGCUUUCCUAUCCUCUGUUAGCAUCCGGAGGAUAAGCUUCCCCAGUGAAAAGAUGAGGAUGGAGGAACGGCUUCUGUUCCACGGCAGCGGGCGACGCGUAGAAGAUUUGAUUCGAGCGUUGGGAAGAGGCAGAUGGUUGGGAAGCUUGAUCCGCGGACUGUUACAGUUCUGAUCCGUUGAAGCAAGGGAUAAGGGUGGUAGGUGGUUCGAAGAUGCUGCCG